AAUGAACGUUGGCGGCGUGGAUUAGGCAUGCAAGUCGAGCGAGAACCCCGCAAGGGGGGACAGCGGCGAAAGGGACAGUAAUGUGAAGAUUAUCUGCCCUCAGGUCCGGGAUAGCUGCGGGAAACUGCAGGUAAUACCGGAUAACAUCUCCGGAUCAAAGGUGUGAUUCCGCCUGAGGAUGAGUCUGCAUCCUAUUAGCUAGUUGGUGGGGUAAUGGCCUACCAAGGCAUUGAUGGGUAGCAGGUGUGAGAGCACGACCUGCGUCAUUGGGACUGAGACACUGCCCAGACACCUACGGGUGGCUGCAGUCGAGAAUCUUCGGCAAUGGGCGCAAGCCUGACCGAGCGACGCCGCGUGUGGGAUGAAGGCCUUCGGGUUGUAAACCACUGUCAGAGGGGAUGAAAUGCAGGUGGGUUCUCCCAUCUGUUUGACAUAGCCUCAGAGGAAGGACGGGCUAAGUUCGUG
RNAcentral lists this ribosomal RNA (465 nucleotides) under uncultured bacterium. Its description in RNAcentral is "partial 16S ribosomal RNA". It matches the Rfam family "Bacterial small subunit ribosomal RNA", at positions 29 to 507 of the family's 1533-position model. The record is from RNAcentral.